Long non-coding RNA from Neltuma alba, 562 nucleotides. RefSeq lists it as uncharacterized. Lineage: Eukaryota; Viridiplantae; Streptophyta; Magnoliopsida; Fabales; Fabaceae. The transcript has 2 exons. The record is from RefSeq and is a predicted model, not a curated record.
AAGAUGGACCUAAUUCUUGUGCAUCCUCCACAUCUGAUCGCUUUAGCAUGCAUAUUCAUUGCUAGUGUCCUCAGGGAGAAAGACACCACUGCUUGGUUUGAAGAGCUUCGUGUCGAUAUGAAUGUAGUGAAAAAUAUAUCGAUGGAGAUUCUUGAUUUCUAUGAAAGCAAUCGAAUGUUCACAGAGGAGCGGAUCAAUGCUGCUCUUAGCAAGCUAGGCUUCAGGUCUUAAAAGCUCUCUUCUGCAGUUAAUAAAUAAAAAUGAAUCAUGGGGGAGGGAAGUUUGAUCCCUGAGCUAGUGAACUUUCUUCAAGGUCAUGUUCUUUACUUUAGAACAUUCUUUGAAUAUGGCCACUAGUCAGCUUAAAAUGAUUAAAUGUGAGGGCGCGGAUUACUGAGUUGUUUUUAACUUGUUGAUAGCCUCUGAAAGAAUAUCAGUGAUCUGUGAUUCAUUUCAUUCAUGCCGAUGAGUGUUGUAAUUUUAUUACAGAAUUAGAUGUGGGAUCUUAUGUAUUGCAUGAAGUUUAAGGAAUGAACACACUCUUUUUAAAAAAAAUAUUAAA